UAUUAAAAUUUCAUUCAUUUGUACUGUUAAAAACUAGCGUAGUUAACGGAAAAACCAGAAAGUGACAUGUGACAUGUGACAUGCCACAUGUACCUUAGGCCUAUGUACAAUUAUCGGUUUUUAAUAAUAGAUCUAGAUGAAUUUUUUUACA
Molecule: microRNA precursor, 151 nt
Filed under: Gossypium hirsutum (cotton)
Lineage: Eukaryota; Viridiplantae; Streptophyta; Magnoliopsida; Malvales; Malvaceae
Description: MIR7502 microRNA precursor family
Rfam family: MIR7502 microRNA precursor family
Source: Rfam by way of RNAcentral